Molecule: ribosomal RNA, 301 nt
Filed under: uncultured bacterium
Lineage: Bacteria
Description: partial 16S ribosomal RNA
Rfam family: Bacterial small subunit ribosomal RNA
Source: RNAcentral
CAGUAGCCGCGGUAAUACGGAGGAUCCAAGCGUUAUCCGAAAUUAUUGGGUUUAAAGGGUGCGUAGGCGGCAUGCUAAGUCAGGGGUGAAAGACGGUGGCUCAACCAUCGCAGUGCCUUUGAUACUGGUGUGCUUGAAUGUACAUGAGGUAGGCGGAAUGAGACAAGUAGCGGUGAAAUGCAUAGAUAUGUCUCAGAACACCAAUUGCGAAGGCAGCUUACUAAGGUAUGAUUGACGCUGAUGCACGAAAGCGUGGGGAUCAAACAGGAUUAGAUACCCGGGUAGUCCCUGUCUCUUAUAC